GCCGGGAUGGUCUAAUCGGUUAAGGCGUCGCCCCGGAUUGGCGAAGGUUGCGGGUUCAAUCCCUGCUCCUGGCC
Molecule: transfer RNA, 74 nt
Filed under: Ixodes scapularis (black-legged tick)
Lineage: Eukaryota; Metazoa; Arthropoda; Arachnida; Ixodida; Ixodidae
Description: tRNA-Ser for anticodon GGA
Rfam family: tRNA
About the family: Transfer RNA (tRNA) molecules are approximately 80 nucleotides in length. Their secondary structure includes four short double-helical elements and three loops (D, anti-codon, and T loops).
Source: RNAcentral